Molecule: ribosomal RNA, 460 nt
Filed under: uncultured bacterium
Lineage: Bacteria
Description: partial 16S ribosomal RNA
Rfam family: Bacterial small subunit ribosomal RNA
Source: RNAcentral
CCUACGGGAGGCAGCAGUGAGGAAUAUUGGUCAAUGGGCGCGAGCCUGAACCAGCCAAGUCGCGUGAAGGAUGACUGCCCUACGGGUUGUAAACCUCUUUUAUAAAGGAAUAAAGUGAGGCACGUGUGCCUUUUUGUAUGUACUUUAUGAAUAAGGAUCGGCUAACUCCGUGCCAGCAGCCGCGGUAAUACGGAGGGUCCGAGCGUUGUCCGGAUUUAUUGGGUUUAAAGGGAGCGUAGAUGGGUUGUUAAGUCAGUGGGGAAAGUUUGCGGCUAAACCGUAAAAUUGCAAUUGAUACUGGCAGUCUUGAGUACAGUUGAGGUAGGCGGAAUUCGUGGUGUAGCGGUGAAAUGCUUAGAUAUCACGAAGAACUCCGAUUGCGAAGGCAGCUUACUAAACUGCCACUGACAUUGAUGCACGAAAGUGUGGGUAUCAAACAGGAUUAGAUACCCUAGUAGUC